AGGGUUUUAGACAUAUACAAAUGAGUUGCAGCUAAAAGUGCUGUCGUAAAUGGUUCUGUAAUUUGCAGGGAACACCUCUGAAUCUCAUUUCGUCAAUCACCCGCGAAAAGCCAAAACCUUCUUACCUGGUGGAAGGUUAUCAGAGAAGAUCUUUGUCCAAUGGGUUGAAGAGAGUUAAUCUGGCAGCAAUUCCAAAAACCACCAUUUAAGGGAAGAAAACGAGAAUGUUAGCUUUUGAUUGGAUGAUUAGGGUAAACAAUGGAUUGAGAACUCAUUGUCCCUCAGGUAAUGAAGCAGCACUCUCUUCUGCAGCAAUUUGGGCGCGAUCUUUUCCUUUCAAAUCAGGAUUUGAACACCAAAUUUUGAGCGCAAUUUUUUCAUUUAAAAUUAGAGUUUAAAAUGACAUCCUCAAGCGCCUCUACCACACCGAAGAUGCCCCUCAAGAUAUGAUGGAGAUGAAGGUAGAAGUCGUGGCGAUGCUAAAGUCGCUGCACCGCUGGCGGCAUUCCUUCAUAACCCGUUGGCUGUGCAGGAGUUGAGGGCUAACAAGAAAGAAUUGCGAGUAGAAAAGUUGAAGGACAAAGAGGAAGUAGAGGACUUAACUCAGGAAAUGGCUGAGCUGUGGUAUCGAACUCUCAUCCCUAGACCUCAAGCUUCAUCUCUCCAACUCAAUUGGCAGGAAUGGAUCUUUGGUUGAUGGAUGGAAGUGGUCGAGGCCUAAUGGAGGGCAUGCAGGACUAACAUAAGCAAUGAAGACAUGAAAUAUUUAAACAAAACAAGAAAGGGAUUUCACUGUUGAGCAAUCUGCAAGGAUGAUUGAUGCAUACUGUAUGCUUAGCAAGUCUUUGUCUAGAGCAAUUUACAUGCUGGUGACAACGAGAUUGCUGCCUGUAUUUACAUGUGAUCUUAUAACUCGCUUCUAUGCCUCAACAUUUUUGUGUUGAAGAUUG
Molecule: long non-coding RNA, 950 nt
Organism: Arachis duranensis
Lineage: Eukaryota; Viridiplantae; Streptophyta; Magnoliopsida; Fabales; Fabaceae
Exons: 6
Source: RefSeq, a predicted model, not a curated record